Molecule: small nuclear RNA, 107 nt
Organism: Octodon degus (degu)
Lineage: Eukaryota; Metazoa; Chordata; Mammalia; Rodentia; Octodontidae
Source: Ensembl
GUGCUCACUUCAGCAGCACAUAUACUAAAAUUGGAACAAUACAGACAAGAUUAGCAUGGCCCCUACACAAGCAUAACAUGCAAAUCCAUAAAGUGUUCCAUAUUUUU